This 253-nucleotide ribosomal RNA is filed under the name uncultured bacterium. Its description in RNAcentral is "partial 16S ribosomal RNA". It matches the Rfam family "Bacterial small subunit ribosomal RNA", at positions 524 to 776 of the family's 1533-position model. The record is from RNAcentral.
UACGUAGGGGGCUAGCGUUGUCCGGAUUUAUUGGGCGUAAAGAGCGUGUAGGCGGCCAGGUAGGUCCGCUGUGAAAGUCCGAGGCUCAACCUCGGAAUGUCGGCGGAAACCCUCUGGCUAGAGUCCGGAAGAGGAGAGUGGAAUUCCCGGUGUAGCGGUGAAAUGCGCAGAUAUCGGGAAGAACACCUAUGGCGAAGGCAGCUCUCUGGGACGGUACUGACGCUGAGACGCGAAAGCGUGGGGAGCGAACAGG